This is a long non-coding RNA of Triticum dicoccoides, 2010 nucleotides long. RefSeq lists it as uncharacterized. The transcript has 3 exons. NCBI's taxonomy places the organism in Eukaryota, Viridiplantae, Streptophyta, Magnoliopsida, Poales, Poaceae. The record is from RefSeq and is a predicted model, not a curated record.
ACCCAUCUCCCCCAGACCCCCACCCCCGUACCUCUUCCCAACCGCAGCCGCCGAUUCAGCCAGAAGUCGCCAAUCUGCUCUUCCACUCCUUUAUCCUCAUCAUAUCGCCGCAAAGAUCUCCUCUCCCACUCUCGUUCCCUUGCUACGGUGCAGAUCUCAUCCGUACUACAGCCACAACGCCGUGGACACUGGACACCACCACCACAUCCUUGGCGGCACUCCCUUCUGCUGGUGGCAGCUCAACGAUUGCUUGCUACCGUUGUGGCACUGGCGGUUUAUGAUGCUGCUGGGUCACCGUUGUGGCGCCGCCGACGAACCGCGAGCCCGUACACCGGCGUUGUCCCCUCCGCGUGGGCCGACCUAGACGGAAGGCAACGGAUCCAGCACCUUUCACCUCCAACGGCGCGGCCUCCUCAACUGAGCGGCGACGGCUGGACCUCCUCCGACUAGGUGCUUGGUGAGGAGCUCGAUGCGGGAGGGCGACCUGCAGCAGCGUCGGCGACAGCGACAGACGACUCCCUUACCCUUGCACCCCAUCUUCUCCAUGUAUCAUGCACUCUCGCACCGCUUGGUGAGGAGCUCGAUGCGGGAGGGCGACCUGCAGCAGCGUCCGCGGCAGCGACAGACGACUCCCUUACCCUUGCACCCCAUCUUCUCCCUGUAUCAUGCACUCUCGCACCGGGGCACACCAUCUUUGUCCUCUCUAAUGGCUCCUCCCCCAUCACUACUACUACACCGGUGUCAUGCUAGCCAAGAUUGUCGCCGGGGCCAACAUAAGAGUAAGAGUUCAUGACACAUACGAGUUCUAAAAUUACUGGUCUCAAUGUUUAGUGCACCUAAAACUGCUUUGGUGCAGUAGAAAGAAUGAGAAAUAUAGGGCCCAGCGGAGCAAAGGAAAAGUGUAACAGAAAUUAGAGAGUUGGAGGGUUCUCAGACUAUCAGAGAUUGAAAAGCCCCAAGGAUAAGAAGCAUUUGGAGCUGCAAAAAUGUGACAUAUAUUUCUUUAAAUAUUCACAUCAUGUAUUGUGACCGAUUUUUCUUUUUGAAGGAACCAGGGAUUAAUUACAAUUGGAAAAUGUGACAUAUAUUUCUUGAAAUAUUCACAUCAUGUACUGUGACUGAUUUUUCUUUUUGAAUGAACCGGGGACUAAUUACAAUUGGAUGUAAUCUCGACAUAUAGCUACGCCAACAGAGGUUGUUGGAUGUCAACAUCUAAUCACAACAUCUUUGUAUUUAUUACAAACUCUAAUUUUCUUGGAUUUACUAGCAUUUUCAUGGAAAGACAAUACAGUAUUUGUUUCCAAUGGUAUCAAUUUGUAUCACUGUUGUUGUAUUCCAUCUUGACUAGAGAUUAUGCUAGAAUGAGUGAACUGCUACCAUCCGACAAUGUGAAGGUGAGACUUGUUUCUUUGUUUUUGAGGUGUUAUGUAAAAAUUAUCAUGACAUGCGAAAUCUGAAUCUGGACAGUCUUUUAUUCGUGCAACUGAAGUAUGUGUGUACGGUGCCUUUUUGAAUUGCCAUGAAACUUGUACAAAGCGUCUAUGAAAAAAAUGUCAUUUCUGCUGAGUAGUACUGUAUCAACCAAAUCCGAAAAUAGUCAUUGGAAAUGAUAAGUGCUUCACGAAGGCUGCAACAUAUUGUAUCAAGUAGGAACUCGAUGCUUGAUUGGCAAAAUUAUGAAGUUUGUGCCAUAAAUGUAGAUUGUACUGAAGGUUUCAUGUUUGUGGCUCAGAUUUUUGAAUUUUUCACAAGUUCAGUAGCAAACAUGCGUGUACAAAAGUGUUUAAAUGGCUGUCUGGAUCAGUGCAUGACCAUGUAGAUGUAUCACUUAGCCUUUUGGUUUUAAAUGCACGUAUAGAAUAAGCUGGUAAGAUAUGAACACCUAUUUUUAUUAACAUGUUUACUUAGAAGUUCUCAUGAAGUUUGAGAAAUCUUCAUGAGAAUUGGUCUGACUAUGUAAUUAGAGACGCCAUAAUGAGCCGAUGUUACAUGUAAGAUAUUGAGGUAGUA